RNAcentral lists this ribosomal RNA (236 nucleotides) under uncultured bacterium. RNAcentral's name for it is "partial 16S ribosomal RNA". It matches the Rfam family "Bacterial small subunit ribosomal RNA", at positions 337 to 590 of the family's 1533-position model. The record is from RNAcentral.
UCCUACGGGGGGCAGCAGUGGGGGAUAUUGCACAAUGGGGGGAACCCUGAUGCAGCGACGCCGCGUGGGUGAAGAAGCGCCUCGGCGCGUAAAGCCCUGUCAGCAGGGAAGAAAAUGACGGUACCUGAAGAAGAAGCCCCGGCUAACUACGUGCCAGCAGCCGCGGUAAUACGUAGGGGGCACGCGUUAUCCGGAUUUACUGGGUGUAAAGGGCGUGUAGCCGGGUUGACAAGUCA